GACGAACGCUGGCGGCGUGCCUAAUACAUGCAAGUAGAACUCUGAAGGAGGAGCUUGCUUCUCUGGAUGAGUUGCGAACGGGUGAGUAACGCGUAGGUAACCUGCCUGGUAGCGGGGGAUAACUAUUGGAAACGAUAGCUAAUACCGCAUAAGAGUAGAUGUCGCAUGACAUUUGCUUAAAAGGUGCAAUUGCAUCACUACCAGAUGGACCUGCGUUGUAUUAGCUAGUUGGUGAGGUAACGGCUCACCAAGGCAACGAUACAUAGCCGACCUGAGAGGGUGAUCGGCCACACUGGGACUGAGACACGGCCCAGACUCCUACGGGAGGCAGCAGUAGGGAAUCUUCGGCAAUGGACGGAAGUCUGACCGAGCAACGCCGCGUGAGUGAAGAAGGUUUUCGGAUCGUAAAGCUCUGUUGUAAGAGAAGAACGAGUGUGAGAGUGGAAAGUUCACACUGUGACGGUAUCUUACCAGAAAGGGACGGCUAACUACGUG
Molecule: ribosomal RNA, 495 nt
Filed under: uncultured bacterium
Lineage: Bacteria
Description: partial 16S ribosomal RNA
Rfam family: Bacterial small subunit ribosomal RNA
Source: RNAcentral